Molecule: ribosomal RNA, 274 nt
Filed under: uncultured bacterium
Lineage: Bacteria
Description: partial 16S ribosomal RNA
Rfam family: Bacterial small subunit ribosomal RNA
Source: RNAcentral
AUACGGAGGGUGCAAGCGUUAUUCGGAAUCACUGGGCGUAAAGGACGCGUAGGCGGGUUGGCAAGUCAGAUGUGAAAUCCUACAGCUUAACUGUAGAACUGCAUUUGAAACUGCUAACCUAGAGUAUGGGAGGGGGAGAUGGAAUUAGUGGUGUAGGGGUAAAAUCCGUAGAUAUCACUAGGAAUACCGAAAGCGAAGGCGAUCUCCUGGAACAUAACUGACGCUAAGGCGUGAAAGCGUGGGGAGCAAACAGGAUUAGAUACACUAGUAGUCC